CUUUACUGUAUUCUGAAAUUGAAUUUAAAUUAUAUUUGCGCAGUAUAAGUGGGAGACUAAGAUAUUUUUUUUCGGAAAAGAUGGAGUCAAAAAUUGAGAUACCACUCUAAUAUAAUUAAAAUUCUAAUUUUAUACCAUUAACUGGUUAAAAGACAUUUUCAGAUGGACAGUUUGACUGGGGCGGUCGCCUCCUAAAAAGUAACGGAGGCGUACAAAGGUUUUUUCAAAUCGGUCAGAAAUCGAUUAUAGAGUAUAAAGGCAUAAAAAAGCUUAACUGUAAGACAAACAAGUCAAACAGAAACGAAAGUUGGUCUUAAUGACCUAACGAUACUAAAUGGAAAGGUCGUUAAUCAACGGAUAAAAGUUA
This 367-nucleotide ribosomal RNA is filed under the name uncultured organism. RNAcentral's name for it is "partial 23S ribosomal RNA". It matches the Rfam family "Bacterial large subunit ribosomal RNA", at positions 2099 to 2465 of the family's 2925-position model. The record is from RNAcentral.